GGAGCAGUGGGUCACGGCUGUCGGGCGUCCGGCUGUCGGGAGGCUCCGGCCGCCCCCUCCAGCCGCCCCCCGGUGCCGGGGCCCUUCCCUGCCCAGCUGCCCCAUGCCCACGCUGGACCGGUGCCGGGACGGAGGUGACUCUGUGCCGGGGCUGGGCUGGUGGCCAGGGCCGGUGUCUCUGCCAAGGCCAGCUUUGCCCCGGGGGCUCUCGGGGCGGGGAGGGAGGAGCAGGAGUCCCGGGGGGGAUAAAUCUGCCCUUUCACCUUCCCCAGCUGCAGCCGGGACUCUCCGCACAGCAGAGGAAGAUGAAGGUGGCAGUGCUCAGCCUGGCCCUGCUCUUCGCCGUCCUGCUCUGCACCCCGGAGGAUGCCCAGGCCUUCGAAGCAAGCGGAGGUUACUGCAUCGGGGGGGGAAUCGACUUCGGGCGAGUGAAGAGGGCUGCGGCCCCCCGGGCUGAGAGGCUGCUGGAGCUGGCGCGCCAGAGACGCAUGGCUGAGGCGGCCGAGGCCUAGGACUGGAACCAGCGGUGACACCCUCGUCCCGUCCCCCCGCAGCAGCACGAGGAGAUGAUCAUCCCUGGAUGCCCCCCCCGACCCCCGGGAGCCCCGGACCGUUGCCCUCUCGCCAUCAAUAAAC
Long non-coding RNA from Chroicocephalus ridibundus (black-headed gull), 636 nucleotides. RefSeq lists it as uncharacterized. Lineage: Eukaryota; Metazoa; Chordata; Aves; Charadriiformes; Laridae. The record is from RefSeq and is a predicted model, not a curated record. The transcript has 5 exons.